UUUUUUAAAAAAAAAAAAUAAUAUCUUGCUCCCAGAAAUGGCUAGUAUCACAAAGCAAAGCUCAUCUCUCUAUCAAAAUAAGCUCAUAUUUGAACAUGAAUGCUUUUUUUCCAAGCCACAAACCACCGGCCAUAUAAAACAAACAAUGGCACUACAUAAACCAUACUAACUUAAUCCCUUCCAAAUGACGGCUUGACAACACAAUGAACAAGUUCACUGCAUGUCAAGAAACAACCCAUUUACCAUUUAAAAUUCUAAAAUUAUUUUGAGAAACAUGUCAACAAAAUCCAAAUGUUAGGGAAAAUUUUGAUGUGACAAAACUUGGGAGAUUAUUUACUUCUGAAAUAUAUCAAGUUAAGGAUCAAAGCUUAACACCACAAAAAAUUUAUUGCAAAUUGUUAGGAAAUAAGAAAAAAGCAAGACACUAAUUCAGGCAUAAAAAGGGUUUCAUUAAAUUGCAAAGCCAAGCAUAAGUGAGAACCUUUCUAAGACAUACAUAUGUAUUCUAAUUUCAUAAACCCAACAGAUUUUUCCCAUGAAAGAGAACUGAAUCCAUAAAAUGCCUAACCUCAACAGAUUUUUCUCACAAGAGCUUCUUUAAUAAGAAAUAGGAGAGAAAUGUCUUGUAGUUCAUGGAGAAUAAAAGUAACGAUAACUGUGUUGUAGAGCAAAUAAAAGAGGAAAGAGAAGGUCCUAUCCAACAAAAUGGUUAUAUAGUCCAAAA
RNAcentral lists this unclassified non-coding RNA (724 nucleotides) under Hevea brasiliensis (rubber tree). The record is from RNAcentral. Lineage: Eukaryota; Viridiplantae; Streptophyta; Magnoliopsida; Malpighiales; Euphorbiaceae.